RNAcentral lists this long non-coding RNA (1045 nucleotides) under Phascolarctos cinereus (koala). RNAcentral describes it as "lncRNA (ENSPCIG00000033927.1)". The record is from RNAcentral. Lineage: Eukaryota; Metazoa; Chordata; Mammalia; Diprotodontia; Phascolarctidae.
CAACAGUAAAUUCUCAGACAAACUUAGAGACCAAAGAUGGAGGAGGAAGCCAGAGUCUCUUCGCCUCAAUCUGAGCAGGAAGGUCCAGGCCCCAAAUCCACUUGUCAGGGUUCAAGGAUGAGUUUGGGCCCAGGAGCCAGCCUCUCCAAGACAUUUGUUUGGUGGAAAGGUGUUACCCAGCCACUUCAAAGAAAUUGUCCUCUUGUCUUCCCAUCCCAAUAAAUGUAAUAUGGAGAGGCUUAGAUGCCCAGUGCAGGGGCAAAAAAAUGCUUGUAGUUGCAAUCACUGUAUCACAGAUGUGCACUUUCAAGGACAUGCACAAAUGUGUAAGUGUAAAAUCAAUCAGAGAAAAUUGAAAACUCCUCUAUAUCUUUCAGUGUUUUGACCCAGGCUUUCCUCCUUCUUUGCAGUCUCUGAAGAAAAGGUUACCACCUUCCUUGCCAACAUUAACCCCAGUACUAAUGCCUUGGACCCAUUCCUUCCUUUAUCCUCCAUGAUCUAGCUCAUCAAUCAUCACCUCUCAUAUAGCUCCAGUCCCCCCUCCCCCCCCUCAACCUAAAAACAUGUUUAGGUCCCCCCAAUGCUACUUUACCUUCCCUAAAAGUUAAUUUACUGGACCUUGCUAUGACUUUACUUCUCCCUUGCCCUUAAUGGUUGGACUGCCUCACCAUCACCUUAUUCCUCAGUCCCUUGGAAUCUAAUUUCUGUCCUCAUUAGUCUACUAGAAUUUUUCUUUCCAAGGUCAUUAAAAAUCUCCCAAUCACCAAAUCUGCAGGCUUUAUUUUGAGCCCUUGUGCUCAGCCUAACUUUUGACCGCCCCACUCCUCUUUUUGAUACCAUCACUCCCUUAUAUUCUGUGCCACUGGAGACUCCUUUGUCAAUAUCAUCUAUUUCCAUGGCAUCAGUUAUGACCUCUACAUAGAUCAUUCACAAAUCUCUAUCUCCUGAUCUAAUCUUUAUCCAGAGUUCCAGUUCCCUAUUUCUAACUAUCAACUAGGUACCUAGAUAUCCCACUAAUACUUCAAACUGAACAUCAUAAGUGUAC